AUUUAGGCUAGAAUUUAGUUUAGCCGACAUGCGUAAUAAAAAAUUUUAUUUGGCUCGUUUUUAAUAGCGAUCCGGGCAGGUCGUAUUAUUUAAAUCGUUAAACAAUUUUUCCUUUAUAUUUAUCGACUAAUUUAAAAUCGAUUUAUUUAAUUUUUUCAACCUAAAAAUUACGAAAAAUAAUUUGGGCGUUUUUGUAAAUACGUUUUAUUUGCCCGACCGAAGGAUUUAUAUCGUUAAAACCAAUUGGAAAAAAAAAUUUUUCGGUUGAAAAUAACGACGAUAUUUUUCCAAAUUUUGUUUAUAUCCGCUUUAAUUCUUUCGUUUUAUUUUACCUGCUGGAUAAUUUUUAUCGUUUACCUCGAUUAUUUAUAUAUUUUACGUAUUGGAAAUUAAUUAAUUCGCCAAUUAAUCGAAAUAAUAUUUGACCAAAAUAUUUUAUUUUACGUUAAACGAUUUACGAUUUUUUGUUGAAUUCCGAAAUUUGUUAAAAUUGGGGAAAUAAACGGCAAAAAUUAAAAUAAAAAAAAGCCCGAAAACCAAAAAAAUGCAAAAAACGGGAUCGAUUGGGUUUUCGAUUGGAAACCCGUUGGAUUCGCAAACGAAAAAAUAAUAAUUUAUAUAUAUAUAAUAUAUUAGCCCCGAAUUAGUUCCCAUAUAAAAAAAUGGUUUGGAUUUAUUUUAAUAUUAAUUAAUUUGGACCCCUUUUAAUAUUUUAGAUUUUAUUUGUAGCGAAUUUAUAUCGCCUAGUAUAUUGGUUUAAAAAAAAUUAGAAAAAAAACGUUAUUAUUUCGGAUUAUCCGGCGAAAAAAGGCCGAAACCGUUGGAUAAUUCCGGGUUAUGGGCCAAAUCCUAAACCAAUUUACUAUCCGGACCUAAUCGAAACCGUAUCCGACGGUAUUUUUUCCGCCCCCGGCCGACCGAAACCCAAAAUAAACCCGGCCAAUUUAUUUUUUAUUUACCGGCCGAAAACGUAUAAAUCCAAACCAAUUUAAUAUAUUUAUAUAUUUAUUCCCUCUAUAAUUAAAAUAUUAAAAACGGUAAAUAUUUUUACAUUUUUAUAACCGGAAAAAACUAGAACCCAACCCAUUUCCAUAAUUAUAUUACCAACCCAAAUUUUUUAACCUAUUAAUAGGGAAUAUAGGUUUAAUAAUAUAAAUAUAUUUUUUAUUUACAAAACCUAAAUAUUUUGUCGCAUUUAAUUAUAUUAAAUUAACGCGGGCAACCACGAAUAAAAAUAACCGCAAUUCCCGAUUAAAUUAAAAAUAAUAAUAUCAAAUACAAAAUUGGCAAAAAGUAUUUGGGUUAUUUUCCGAUAUCGGUAAUUACGGAAUAAUAAAAAAAAUAAAAAAAGGUGAAAAUCUUUUUCCAAAGUUUUGAAAAAUUUAACCGCCGAAAAAUUUUAAAAAAAUAACGUACGAAUAAUAAAAAACGCGUGGUGGAUAAUUUUUUAUUUAGUUUGGACGCAUUUUACGUUUUAAUUAAAUACGAUUUUGACGAUUUUUUUUUUUUAAAAAAUUCUAUUUUUGUCGGUUAAUGCCCGCAUUUUUAUUUUUUGGAAAUUGCUGGCCGUUACCGGGAUUUUUUUAAAUUUUAUUCGGAAAUAAAAAACCAAAAUAUCCAUUUGUUUUAAUAAAAAAAUUUCUUACUAUUAUUACCAUUACCAACCCCAAUUUUUUCGACAAGGCCGGAAUUAUUAUUCAUUAUAAUUUUAUUUCGCCAAUUUAUUUUUAACGGUAAAAACCUCUAUUAUAAUUUAAUAUAAAAUUAUAUGGACGCGGUCGAAUUUAACGUUAUAAUAUAUUUUGGUUACGGAAUUCGGGCAAAAUUCGUCCAACGAAUAAUAUUUAAAAAAAUUUAACAAAUAACGCCAAACGUUAAUACCGAAAAUUUAAUUUAAUUAAAAUUAAAAAUUGGAAAAUAAUAAAAACGAGGUUUUUUACCAAAUACCGCGUCGACGAAAGAAAUAUCGCUGAAAGAUUUUUAAAAAUUGGUUUUGAAAUUUAUAAUUUAAAACGUAAAAUUGGCGAAUUUAUAAAUAAUUACGUUAAACGUUCCCUAAAAUUAAACAAAAAAAUUACCGAUAUAAUUUAAUAAUUAAUUUUUAUUAACCGAUUUUUGGCCGGUAAAUUAAAUGGAAAAAAUGGGCGCCCUUUUAAAAUUUAAUUGGAAAUUAUUUUUAUCGCCAAAAAUUGGAUAUUAUUUGAUAAAAAGGUUAUUAUUAGCACAAUUGGUUUCGAAGAUUUCGUCAAAAUUUUCGACGGUUAUAUAAUUUUAUACGGCGAAAUUAUUGGAAAUAUAUCCGAUUCGGACGAAUUCGAUAUAAACAAUUUUGAUAUAAGUUCCAGGGCGGAUAAAAAAUGGAAAUAUAUCGCGGAAAAAUAAAUUAUAACCCUGUCCAAUUUGCAUAUAAUUUUAAAUAUAACCCACCAAUUUCGCCAAAUUCGACUUUAACCAACCCCAAUUGUAAUAAAUUUUAAAAUUCCGCGCACCCGGUUAAUUAUUAACCCCGUUAAAAAGAAUUUUAAUUAAAUGUCCGAUUUAACGUUAUACGUCGUUUUUUUUAGCGGAAAUAUAAAAAAUACGCCAAACCCGGGCCGCGUCCAAAAUUUACCCCGAUAUAUUAAAAUUGUGGAGAAUUAUAUUAUAAAACCGAAUAUAUUUAUAACGGUCCUAUCGACCAAAUAAUUUAUAACCAACGUCGGAAUAAUUAA
RNAcentral lists this small RNA (2711 nucleotides) under Pyricularia oryzae. RNAcentral's name for it is "Magnaporthe oryzae sRNA M_BR32_EuGene_00012151". The record is from RNAcentral. Lineage: Eukaryota; Fungi; Ascomycota; Sordariomycetes; Magnaporthales; Pyriculariaceae.